UACGGAGGAUGCGAGCGUUAUCCGGAUUUAUUGGGUUUAAAGGGUGCGUAGGCGGACGCUUAAGUCAGCGGUAAAAUUGCGGGGCUCAACCUCGUCGAGCCGUUGAAACUGGGCGCCUUGAGUGGGCGAGAAGUACGCGGAAUGCGUGGUGUAGCGGUGAAAUGCAUAGAUAUCACGCAGAACUCCGAUUGCGAAGGCAGCGUACCGGCGCCCUACUGACGCUGAAGCACGAAGGCGUGGGUAUCGAACAGG
RNAcentral lists this ribosomal RNA (252 nucleotides) under uncultured bacterium. RNAcentral's name for it is "partial 16S ribosomal RNA". It matches the Rfam family "Bacterial small subunit ribosomal RNA", at positions 524 to 776 of the family's 1533-position model. The record is from RNAcentral.